This 465-nucleotide ribosomal RNA is filed under the name Vreelandella stevensii. RNAcentral describes it as "partial 16S ribosomal RNA". It matches the Rfam family "Bacterial small subunit ribosomal RNA", at positions 338 to 795 of the family's 1533-position model. The record is from RNAcentral. Lineage: Bacteria; Pseudomonadati; Pseudomonadota; Gammaproteobacteria; Oceanospirillales; Halomonadaceae.
CCUACGGGUGGCUGCAGUGGGGAAUAUUGGACAAUGGGCGAAAGCCUGAUCCAGCCAUGCCGCGUGUGUGAAGAAGGCCUUCGGGUUGUAAAGCACUUUCAGUGGGGAAGAAGGCCUUGGGGCUAAUACCCUCGAGGAAGGACAUCACCCACAGAAGAAGCACCGGCUAACUCCGUGCCAGCAGCCGCGGUAAUACGGAGGGUGCGAGCGUUAAUCGGAAUUACUGGGCGUAAAGCGCGCGUAGGCGGUCUGAUAAGCCGGUUGUGAAAGCCCCGGGCUCAACCUGGGAACGGCAUCCGGAACUGUCAGGCUAGAGUGCAGGAGAGGAAGGUAGAAUUCCCGGUGUAGCGGUGAAAUGCGUAGAGAUCGGGAGGAAUACCAGUGGCGAAGGCGGCCUUCUGGACUGACACUGACGCUGAGGUGCGAAAGCGUGGGUAGCAAACAGGAUUAGAUACCCUAGUAGUC